RNAcentral lists this ribosomal RNA (284 nucleotides) under uncultured prokaryote. RNAcentral describes it as "partial 16S ribosomal RNA". It matches the Rfam family "Bacterial small subunit ribosomal RNA", at positions 524 to 817 of the family's 1533-position model. The record is from RNAcentral.
UACGUAGGGGCCGAGCGUUGUCCGGAGUUACUGGGCGUAAAGCGUGCGCAGGCGGCGCGUUCUGCCCGGCGUGAAAGCCCCCGGCUCAACCGGGGAGGGUCGUCGGGGACGGGCGCGCUUGAGGGUAUCAGGGGCUGGUGGAAUUCCCGGUGUAGUGGUGAAAUGCGUAGAGAUCGGGAGGAACACCUGUGGCGAAGGCGGCCAGCUGGGAUACACCUGACGCUGAGGCACGAAGGCGUGGGGAGCGAACAGGAUUAGAUACCCCCGUAGUCCCUGAGCGGGCU